Molecule: long non-coding RNA, 364 nt
Organism: Vespula vulgaris
Lineage: Eukaryota; Metazoa; Arthropoda; Insecta; Hymenoptera; Vespidae
Exons: 3
Source: RefSeq, a predicted model, not a curated record
UCCAAGACCCAUCUUUCCAUUGUCGUGGCUCUUAACCAAGGAUGAGGCAGCUUUGUAUAUACAAAGAUAUGUCCGUGGCUGGUUAGUUAGAAAGCGCGAUUAUGUACAAGAAAUGAGACAAUUUUGGAAGGCUCUUGCAGAGGAAAAAGCGAAUAUUACUGAAACUUUGAUGGACGAGGAUCUAGGAUCAAAGGAGGAGUUGAAAAUGGAAGAGCAAAUUGAUGAUAUGUGUGAAUUUUACAAAUUACUAGGAAAGUAUAAGAAAACGAUAUAAUACUACUUUGUUAAUAUAAUAAAACUAUAAAGGUACAUUAAUAUUAUUUAUUAAAUCUAAAUCUGUUUUAGAAUAGAAAGUACCUUCUGU